GUUAAAAAGGGUUUUCCGUUAAAAAAAAGUGGGCCCUCGGUUCCUUUUUUAAUUUUUUUUGGGGGGGGGGAAAGGGGUUCCCCCAAGAUUUUCAAUAAGGUAGGGGGGUUUGAGAGGGAUUUUUCCCCCCCCCUGGGUUAUUUGGACCCCGGGCCCAGAUUCUUCCGGGAGGGAGCCAGUGAGGAAUUUGGCCAAUAGGAGAAAGUUUGACGCACCCUUCCGCGGGGAAGGAGGCGGGCGCUACGCGUUGUAAACUUUUUUUAUAUACAAAGAACCUUUCGGAGGUUUCGAAGCCGGCCGGUAGUAUAUGAAUAAGCACCGGCUAACUCCGUGCAGCCAGCCGCGGUUAUACGGAGGGUGCAAGCGUUAUCCGGAUUAUUUGGGUUUAAAGGGUCCGUAGGCGGAUCAUUAAGUCAGUGGUGAAAGCCGACAGCUCAACUGUCGAACUGCCAUUGAUACUGGUGAUCUUGAGUACGGUUGAAGUAGGCGGAAUAUGACAUGUAGCGGUGAAAUGCUUAGAUAUGUCAUAGAACACCGAUUGCGAAGGCAGCCUACUAAGCCGUUACUGACGCUGAGGGACGAAAGUGUGGGGAGCGAACAGGAUUAGAUACCCUGGUAGUCCACACCGUAAACGAUGAUUACUCGGUAUUGGCUUUAUUGUCAGUGCCCAAGCGAAAGUGAUAAGUAAUCCACCUGGGGAGUACGGCCGCAAGGUUGAAACUCAAAGGAAUUGACGGGGGCCCGCACAAGCGGUGGAGCAUGUGGUUUAAUUCGAUGAUACGCGAGGAACCUUACCAGGGCUUAAAUGUAGAACGACCGGGGUGGAAACACCCCCUUUUUCGAACGGUCUACAAGGUGCUGCAUGGUUGUCGUCAGCUCGUGCUGUGAAGUGUCGGGUUAAGUCCCAUAACGAGCGCAACCCCUAUUUCUAGUUGCCAGCGGUUCGGCCGGGGACUCUAGAGAAACUGCCAGCGUAAGCUGUGAGGAAGGUGGGGACGACGUCAAAUCAUCACGGCCCUUACGUCCUGGGCCACACACGUGCUACAAUGGUGGGGACAACGAGUUGCCAACCCGCAAGGGUGAGCUAAUCUCUCAAACCCCAUCUCAGUUCGGAUCGAAGUCUGCAACUCGACUCCGUGAAGUUGGAAUCGCUAGUAAUCGCGCAUCAGCCAUGNCGUGGAUUCCCGCCGCU
RNAcentral lists this ribosomal RNA (1192 nucleotides) under uncultured bacterium. Its description in RNAcentral is "partial 16S ribosomal RNA". It matches the Rfam family "Bacterial small subunit ribosomal RNA", at positions 198 to 1372 of the family's 1533-position model. The record is from RNAcentral.